UGUUGCAAGUACAGACCCGCCCACUCAGGUACAGAGGCCCCCUACCCCCCCAGCAGCAGCUCCGGCUCUCCUGGCCUCCCAGGGCUGCUGCCCUCUCCUCUCCAGUGUUCUGUCUCUCCAUGCCCGGGGUGUUUUGCACUCCCGGCUUUGGGCUAACUGGCCUUUCCCCAGCCCUAUCUGGCUUUGUGCUUGUCCUUCUCUCCUAGUGCCCUGGUGCUAUGAGUUUCUCGCCAUUUUGGCAGGGAGGAGCAUUGAGCCUUCUCUGGGCCUUCUCCCACAUUUCCUCCCUGUAGGGAACCAUCCCCGUCCUCCUCAAGCCUGGCACUGAUGUCGAGACCAGCCCAGGUGCCACAGGCAUCUGGUGAGCAGUCGAGAGGCAAUGGUGCCAAUCCCCCUGGAGCACCCCCGGAGGUGGAACCGUCCUCUGGCAACCCCAGCCCCCAGGAGGCAGCCUCUGUGCUGUUGCCACGAUGCCGUCUCAACCCUGACAGCAGCUGGGCUCCCAAGAGAGUGGCCAUAACCAGCCCCUUAUCUGGACUCCAGAAGGCCCAGUCUGUGCACAGUCUGGUGCCACAGGAAAGAGAUGAGGCCGGUCUGCAGGCCCCUU
RNAcentral lists this small RNA (607 nucleotides) under Pongo abelii (Sumatran orangutan). RNAcentral's name for it is "retained intron". Lineage: Eukaryota; Metazoa; Chordata; Mammalia; Primates; Hominidae. The record is from RNAcentral.